GAUGAACGCUGGCGGCGUGCCUAAUACAUGCAGGUAGAACGCUGAAGGAAGGAGCUUGCUCUUUCCGGAUGAGUUGCGAACGGGUGAGUAACGCGUAGGUAACCUGCCUGGUAGCGGGGGAUAACUAUUGGAAACGAUAGCUAAUACCGCAUAACAGUAGAUGUUGCAUGAUAUCUACUUAAAAGGUGCAAUUGCACCACUACCAGAUGGACCUGCGUUGUAUUAGCUAGUUGGUGAGGUAACGGCUCACCAAGGCGACGAUACAUAGCCGACCUGAGAGGGUGAUCGGCCACACUGGGACUGAGACACGGCCCAGACUCCUACGGGAGGCAGCAGUAGGGAAUCUUCGGCAAUGGACGGAAGUCUGACCGGGCAACGCCGCGUGAGUGAAGAAGGUUUUCGGAUCGUAAAGCUCUGUUGUAAGAGAAGAACGAGUGUGAGAGUGGAAAGUUCACACUGUGACGGUAUCUUACCAGAAAGGGACGGCUAACUACGUG
This 497-nucleotide ribosomal RNA is filed under the name uncultured bacterium. RNAcentral describes it as "partial 16S ribosomal RNA". It matches the Rfam family "Bacterial small subunit ribosomal RNA", at positions 28 to 507 of the family's 1533-position model. The record is from RNAcentral.